This 498-nucleotide ribosomal RNA is filed under the name uncultured bacterium. Its description in RNAcentral is "partial 16S ribosomal RNA". It matches the Rfam family "Bacterial small subunit ribosomal RNA", at positions 30 to 523 of the family's 1533-position model. The record is from RNAcentral.
AUUGAACGCUGGCGGCAUGCCUUACACAUGCAAGUCGAACGGUAACAGGUCUUCGGAUGCUGACGAGUGGCGAACGGGUGAGUGAUACAUCGGAACGUGCCUAGUAGUGGGGGAUAACUACUCGAAAGAGUGGCUAAUACCGCAUGAGAUCUACGGAUGAAAGCAAGGGAUCGCAAGACCUUGUGCUACUAGAGCGGCCGAUGGCAGAUUAGGUAGUUGGUGGGAUAAAAGCUUACCAAGCCGACGAUCUGUAGCUGGUCUGAGAGGACGAUCAGCCAAACUGGGACUGAGACACGGCCCAGACUCCUACGGGAGGCAGCAGUGGGGGAUUUUGGACAAUGGGCGCAAGCCUGAUCCAGCAAUGCCGCGUGCAGGAUGAAGGCCUUCGGGUUGUAAACUGCUUUUGUACGGAACGAAAAGCCCCGGGUUAAUACCCUGGGGUCAUGACGGUACCGUAAGAAUAAGCACCGGCUAACUACGUGCCAGCCGCCGCAGUAA